Molecule: ribosomal RNA, 440 nt
Filed under: uncultured bacterium
Lineage: Bacteria
Description: partial 16S ribosomal RNA
Rfam family: Bacterial small subunit ribosomal RNA
Source: RNAcentral
CCUACGGGAGGCAGCAGUAGGGAAUUUUGGACAAUGGGCGAAACCCUGAUCCAGCAACGCCGCGUGAGUGAAGAAGUAUUUCGGUAUGUAAAGCUCUAUCAGCGGGGAAGAAAGUGACGGUACCGGACUAAGAAGCACAGGCUAACUACGUGCCAGCAGCCGCGGUAAUACGUCGGGGGCACGCGUUAUCCGGAUUUACUGGGUGUAAAGGGAGCGUAGACGGUGCAGCAAGUCUGAUGUGAAAGGGCGGUGACCAAACCAGUGACUGCAGUGGAGACUGUUAAACUGGAGUACAGGAGAGGUAGGCGGAAUUCCUAGUGUAGCGGUGAAAUGCGUAGAUAUUAGGAGGAACACCAGUGGCGAAGGCGGCUUACUGGAAUGUAACUGACGUUGAGGCCCGAAAGCGUGGGGAGCAAAUAGGAUUAGAUACCCUAGUAGUC